GUGGGGAAUAUUGGACAAUGGGGGGAACCCUGAUCCAGCCAUGCCGCGUGUGUGAAGAAGGCCUUUUGGUUGUAAAGCACUUUAAGCGAGGAGGAGGCUACCGAGAUUAAUACUCUUGGAUAGUGGACGUUACUCGCAGAAUAAGCACCGGCUAACUCUGUGCCAGCAGCCGCGGUAAUACAGAGGGUGCAAGCGUUAAUCGGAUUUACUGGGCGUAAAGCGCGCGUAGGUGGCCAAUUAAGUCAAAUGUGACAUCCCCGAGCUUAACUUGGGAAUUGCAUUCGAUACUGGUUGGCUAGAGUAUGGGAGAGGAUGGUAGAAUUCCAGGUGUAGCGGUGAAAUGCGUAGAGAUCUGGAGGAAUACCGAUGGCGAAGGCAGCCAUCUGGCCUAAUACUGACACUGAGGUGCGAAAGCAUGGGGAGCAAACAGGAUUAGAAACCCUUGUAGUCC
Molecule: ribosomal RNA, 451 nt
Filed under: uncultured bacterium
Lineage: Bacteria
Description: partial 16S ribosomal RNA
Rfam family: Bacterial small subunit ribosomal RNA
Source: RNAcentral